AAAAAGCAAAGUUAGUCAAGUGAGGGGAAGAAGGCUGAGCUUCAGUACAAAACGCGUCACGGCUAACGAAACGCCUAGGAGUGACAGGGUGGUGUAACCCCAAAGUUCUCCCUAUGAUAAAUUUCAACGAGAAGGAAACAAAGCCUGUCUGCACAAGUCCCACAGCGCGGAGAGCUGAAUUUGAACUACGCAUCCGAAGCCAGGGCACGAGCAAAGUCACGAAGUUUACUGGACUUUGACGACACCGCAUGCCACCCCCAAAUACAGCUGUACAAACCUACCGAAGAGAAUGCAUUUGCACAAUCCAGAGUUCAGUUUAUCAGGAAGAAACCUCAUCAUCAGUGAUAACAUCCAACAUGAAACGAAGACAACCAGAUUCUUAGAUCACAGCUGGCAGAAAAAUUAAGAACCUAACAGGAAAACACUGCCACGGUGAGAUUCCCUACUUCUCUGCCACUUCUAAGGCACUGGUCAUAUCAGCGUAACAGCCUGAUGCUACUACAUAAGAACAUUACUGAUGUAUUCUCGUUCCAGUAGAACCCGGCACUGCAAAUGGCUAAACUAGAAACCAGUUUUAGAUGCCUCCAAGAAACACAGAUUUCUACUUUAGAUACUUUGGUAUGCUGCUUACUUAAAACAGUAUUAUCAAAGCACCACUACUACCUGCUAACGCACCAAUUACUCUCUGAGCUGCAACAUGAGAUGGAAUUACUAAAGACUGCUUCAGCUAACCUAAUCUACAGGAUUUAUUUCUUCCUUUAAGAAGCUUAAUCACAAAAUAUAUUUGUCAAUUUGUCAAUGCAUCUUCAUUUGAAGCUAAAGCAACCAGUGACCAUGAUAAGUUUCAUUCUGUGAUAAACAGAAGCAAAACAGUUUUGUUCUUCUGGGUUUCCAGCUCAGUAACAGUUAAGCAUUGUUACGCAGUGACAAAGAGUAAAAUAUCUGUAAAUAAAAUAACAUUGUUCAAAUUUAAUAAGAAAACAGUUUUCAAAUGAAACUGUCACCGAAGACUUUUGUUGAUUUUUGGACAUAAUUUUAAAUCUUGUCUUUCUUGCAGAUAUAGGUUAAUAUGAAAUGACCAAACUAUUUCAAACAGAAUUAACAGUACCUCUUGUGCAAAGAAAGCUCACUAAAAAUCCAGUUUUGAGUAUUUUUGGGAAGUCCCUUGGAAAGUUUCUGUUUGAGUCCUGAAAAGAACGAGAUAAGUACAUAGCUCCUGGCUGUGCAGUACACCUUGUAAAGAGACAUUAGCUCCUUUUAGGUCUUUAAGGGGGAGAAAAACAUAAAAGGGAAGGAGAGGGUGUCAUAAUAUUUUACAACAGGAUGCAAGAGAAUCUACAAACACAGGAAGAAAGCAAAGCCCAGCAGGCCCGAUCUUUCUCCUUCAAUCACCAUGAUCACAAACCCUAUCAAUCACGUCGCACUGGGAUCACAAUACCAAGAGCACAUUUUAUGGCUUACAUUUCCCUGCAUUGCACAGUUACCCCUGUAUAGGACCCUUAUUGUUUUAAGAUCAGGGCAGGAAGUUCCACUUGCUUUCUUAAGGUUCGCUGGCUCCAUCAUUUUCUUGUCACCUGGAGCAUUGUUCACUAAUGCACCAUAUAUCAUGACAAAUAUUUUUUAAAGCUAGGUUUAAAAUUCUUGGCAGCAAAGGAACCAUCUAAACUUUAAAAACUAGAAGGCAUGCUUCAUUUUGGAACAGCUACUAAUCAAGCUGCUCUGAAAGCAUAAUUCAAAAGCCUGUUUUAAAAGAAUUUACAACUCUAUAAAAUCGUAGCACACUGAAUUUGAAUGUAGCCAGGAUUUAAAUUUAGACCAAAGUCCAACCACAUUAUUACAAGUUAAAUAUUACCUCUGUAUUGUGUAAAUCAGAUCUUUCCUUACAAAAUUUUGUUAAAAAGAAUGCACUCUCUGAAAGCCCAGCUCUGUAUUUAUAAACCAAUACUUAAUAUUUAUCUAACAGGAUAAGAAGCAAGUCAUUCGAGUUGAAUUAGCUAGAUCCAAUAUAUGACCUACUUGGUAUUUUCUUUAUUGUUUAACUUUCCAGGUUAUUUCCUCAAAUAUAUACAUCUACUCAAAUAUUCAGGAUGUACUUGCAUAAAUCUUAGUUCUAGGCUAAUUUACAACUAUCCAGAAUUUGCAAAAAAUGAGGAGUAAGAAGGGAAGAUGGGUGAAGAAGAAGGGGUAUUUCAUAUUAAAAUAGCUAAAAAAAUAGUUUGAGGUUUGCUAUCAUUACAUAGAUGGGCAAACAGAGUCAUGAAACUUAAGUUUAACUUCUUAAGACUACACAGUGGCAUAAAUCUAAAUAGUGUUUCUGGAAAAAAAGUUUAGCCAGACAGUUUUAUCUAUUUAGGAUUUUUAACCUGUAUAGGAUAAAAUUUCCAUCCGUUGUUUAAAAAAAUCUAUUAAAUACAAGAUGAAAAUCUACAAGAAAAACAGCAUCAUAGGGAAGUCUAUUAACUGUGCCUAAUGGCUCCAUGUUUUACACGUCAUUAGCAGCUGGGGUGUAUUAUUAGUAUCAAUUCACAGUGGACAACAAAGUCAUUAAACUGAAUGUUACGUGGACAUUCUGAAUACAGUAGGACAUAACCUUAUAUUAGCUAUGUACUAAUGUGGGCUUACCAUAAACAUUUUAUGAAAAAAUUGUUAAUAUAAACAGCCACUAUGUUAUUCAUAAAUUAUUAUUUCAUAAAAAGUAAACAUUUGUACUUUAAGAAAAAUAAAAGACCUUAAAGUGACACAUCAGUUGACUGCAAUGGUUAUUACUAUGAAUUAUUAAUCAGGGUAUUCGAAGAACACUUAUUGGAAAAAUCUGAGUUUUCAUUUUCAGUAGUGGUAAAGGUGAUUGACUGCCAUAACCAAAGGAAGAAGCAGAUUAUUCAUUUUUUGCAAUUUAUGAAAGUAUUAAAAACCAAACAACCCACAGCUGCGGCUUUUAUUAUCUUUCACAAGAGCGUGUGGCAAGCCCUAAGAAAAAAUUUGUCUACUACCUCAUUUGAUUGGUGCUUUCCCCCUGCAAAAUGGAAGCAAUUUAUUUUCAAAGUCAUCUUUCUCAAGAAGCCCCUCAAAUCCACAUAUAAAAAGAGGUAUCAGGAUAUCGAGAUUCUCAACAGAAGAAGCAUCUCUACACACCAAGUGAUCUCCAUACACCAAGCCCAUGUGAUUUCUGCUGUCACUGAUUAGACCUAUAGAACAAGAAGGGUAAACCUGGGUAAACCCAGAAAAGAACAUCCUCUUUUCUUUUUGCUAAAUUAAGUUCAAGCAGUCAACUGAACUUUAAUUUAAACUUUCGCUAUAGAUCCUGUAGUAAAAUCAAUUGUUCACUGUUUAUUUAACAGGAAGACAACCAACUGGAAAAUGUGGCAGGCAUUGAGGCUUGUGUUAAAAAGCAGCGGGUCCCCCCCCCUUUUUUUUUUCUUUUUAAAUACACACACAUUUUAAGAGAGAAAUAGACAUAAAAAGAUGAAAUAAUCAUCCAAUCUAAUUCUGACAUUUCCUGCUGGACUUACUUAAGAAGAACUACAACUUGAUUAAAAGAACAUAAAAACUGAUAUUUCCAGAGUAUUCCACGGUUUUUCAGUGACCUGAAAGUGCUUUGUGGAAAAUAAACCUUAGAAACGCCGAGUAUUGAGAUGGAAAUGGUGUUAUCACUAGCCUUCACACUAGGCACUAUUAAGUCAGGAAGAUGCCUCCUUUUGAGCCCAGUGAGGUUCUGAAACAAGGCCAGGGUUUCCAGGUUGUCUUUUAACAACCUUUUCAAACAACAGUUGGACUGCUGUCAGAAAUGCUGGACAAAUCGAACACGAGUAUUUUACUUGUUAUGCUGGGGGUGAAACCCCCAGAUGGAUUUGGCAGCACCAGGAGAUGCCGACCAAGGAGGGAAGACGCCACAGCGUUCAGCUGCAUUUCAACAUAUUGUGACUCAACAGCUACUGCAAGAGGCUGCAGGGACUGUGAAGCUGCAGCUGUAUGGUAUGUCAUUAGAGGAAGCAGUAAGAGCUGAAUACCUUUUUCUCACAAAUUCUGGAAAAGACGCACGAGGGGACCACAAAACAAAGCACACAAAAAGCACUAGAGACUAAAACAGUCGAAAGGAAAAGAGAAAAAUA
This is a long non-coding RNA of Cygnus olor (mute swan), 4109 nucleotides long. RefSeq lists it as uncharacterized. The transcript is spliced from 2 exons. Lineage: Eukaryota; Metazoa; Chordata; Aves; Anseriformes; Anatidae. The record is from RefSeq and is a predicted model, not a curated record.